UAUCUUUAGGAUUUGUGAUUAUGCAUACUGAUGCUUCAAAUAUGACUUUAAACCCUUUAUCACAAAAUUGACUUAUGCUAAGUAGGUUAUGUUUCAAACCCUUAACUAAUAAGACAUUUUCUAUGAAAGUAGAUGGAGUAAUAAAAAUUUUAUCCUUUCCAAUGAUAUACCCUUUUCCAUUGUCUCCAUAGGUUACUACUCCACCCUUCUUAGAUUUCAAGGUGACAAAUUGAUCUACAUCACCGGUCAUGUGUCUUGAACAGCCGCUAUCUAGAUACCAUCGUUUUUCCACUUUAUUAGCUGCAAGACACCCCUGCAAUAAAGAUCAAGAAAGAGCUUUAGGUACCCAAACUAUGUUGGGUCCUUUAGGGUUAGUACUUGAUGUUCCUUUUGGAACCAAAACUUUUUUGAAUUUAAGCUUAUGAUUAUUACUCAAUUUGUUUUGACUGGACUUUCUAUAGUUACAUUCAUAUGCUUUAUGUCCUAAUUUAU
Molecule: long non-coding RNA, 492 nt
Filed under: Phoenix dactylifera (date palm)
Lineage: Eukaryota; Viridiplantae; Streptophyta; Magnoliopsida; Arecales; Arecaceae
Description: long non-coding RNA (PDAC_LNC018097)
Source: RNAcentral